UCUCGCCUGUUUUACAAAAACAUGUCUUAAUGUUAUAUUUUAUUAAGUCAGGCCUGCUCAAUGAUGUUUUAAAUAGCCGCAGUAUAUUGACUGUGCGAAGGUAGCAUAAUCAUUUGUCUUUUAAUUGGAGGCUUGUAUGAAUGGUUUGAUGAGAGAGCUACUUUCUUUAUAUUAUUUAAUUGAAUUUAAUUUUUGAGUUAAAAAGCUCAAAUUUUUAAGUGGGACGAGAAGACCCUAUAGAAUUUUAUUUAUAGAAUAGUUUCAUUAGUUAGGUAAAUUUACUUUUGAGGAGAUUUUAUGAAUUUUGUUGGGGUGACAGUGAGAUUUGCAAAACUCUCAUAAUUUAUAUUUUAUUAAUUUUUAUGUUAAAGAUCCCUUAUUAGGGAUAAUUAGAUUAAAUUACCUUAGGGAUAACAGCGUAAUUUUUUUGGAGAGUUCUUAUCGAUGAAGGAGUUUGCGACCUCGAUGUUGGAUUAAAAUUAGGUUUAAGUGUAGCAGCUUAAUUUCUAGGUCUGUUCGACCUUUAAUAUUUUACAUGAUCUAGUUUCCAACCGGGA
This 557-nucleotide ribosomal RNA is filed under the name Paraholcostethus irumiae. RNAcentral's name for it is "partial large subunit ribosomal RNA". It matches the Rfam family "Bacterial large subunit ribosomal RNA", at positions 1794 to 2624 of the family's 2925-position model. Lineage: Eukaryota; Metazoa; Arthropoda; Insecta; Hemiptera; Pentatomidae. The record is from RNAcentral.